UGGUGGGUAGUUUGACUGGGGCGGUCUCCUCCCAAAGAGUAACGGAGGAGCACGAAGGUUAGCUAAUCACGGUCGGACAUCGUGAGGUUAGUGCAAAGGCAUAAGCUAGCUUGACUGCGAGAGUGACGGCUCGAGCAGGUACGAAAGUAGGUCUUAGUGAUCCGGUGGUUCUGAAUGGAAGGGCCAUCGCUCAACGGAUAAAAGGUACUCCGGGGAUAACAGGCUGAUACCGCCCAAGAGUUCAUAUCGACGGCGGUGUUUGGCACCUCGAUGUCGGCUCAUCACAUCCUGGGGCUGAAGUAGGUCCCAAGGGUAUGGCUGUUCGCCAUUUAAAGUGGUACGCGAGCUGGGUUUAGAACGUCGUGAGACAGUUCGGUCCCUAUCUGCCGUGGGCGUUGGAAGAUUGAGAGGGGUUGCUCCUAGUACGAGAGGACCGGAGUGAACGCACCACUGGUGUUCGGGUUGUCAUGCCAAUGGCAUUGCCCGGUAGCUAAGUGCGGAAAAGAUAAGCGCUGAAAGCAUCUAAGCGCGAAACUUGCCUCAA
This 544-nucleotide ribosomal RNA is filed under the name Serratia marcescens. RNAcentral describes it as "partial 23S ribosomal RNA". It matches the Rfam family "Bacterial large subunit ribosomal RNA", at positions 2259 to 2802 of the family's 2925-position model. The record is from RNAcentral. Lineage: Bacteria; Pseudomonadati; Pseudomonadota; Gammaproteobacteria; Enterobacterales; Yersiniaceae.